Molecule: unclassified non-coding RNA, 406 nt
Filed under: soil metagenome
Description: partial contains 5.8S ribosomal RNA, internal transcribed spacer 2, and large subunit ribosomal RNA
Rfam family: 5.8S ribosomal RNA (bases 1-121)
Source: RNAcentral
GAUGAAGAACGUAGCGAAAUGCGAUAAGUAAUGUGAAUUGCAGAAUUCAGUGAAUCAUCGAAUCUUUGAACGCACCUUGCGCCCUUUGGCCAUUCCGAAGGGCAUGCCUGUUUGAGUAUCAUGAACACCUCAACUCUUCAUGGUUUUCCAUGAUGAGCUUGGACUUUGCGGGUCUUGCUGGCCUGUGGGUCGGCUCCUCUCAAAUGAAUCAGCUUGCCGGUUUUUGGUGGGCAUCACAGGUGUGAUAACUAUCUACGCUUGUGGUUUUCCACCAGGGUAACCUUCAGCAGUGGAGGUUCACUGGAGCUUACAAAUGUCUCUCCUCUGUGAGGACAGCCCUUUGAAUGUUUGAUCUCAAAUCAGGUAGGACUACCCGCUGAACUUAAGCAUAUCAAUAAGCGGAGGA